GACGAACGCUGGCGGCGUGCUUAACACAUGCAAGUCGAGCGGUAAGGCCCUUUCGGGGGUACACGAGCGGCGAACGGGUGAGUAACACGUGGGUGACCUGCCCUUAGCUCUGGGAUAAGCCUGGGAAACUGGGUCUAAUACCGGAUAUGACUCCAUAACGCAUGUUGUGGGGUGAAAGCCUUGUGCGGCUAGGGAUGGGCCUGCGGCCUAUCAGCUUGUUGGUGGGGUGAUGGCCUACCAAGGCGACGACGGGUAGCCGGCCUGAGAGGGCGACCGGCCACACUGGGACUGAGACACGGCCCAGACUCCUACGGGAGGCAGCAGUGGGGAAUCUUGCGCAAUGGGCGAAAGCCUGACGCAGCGACGCCGCGUGGGGA
RNAcentral lists this ribosomal RNA (377 nucleotides) under uncultured bacterium. Its description in RNAcentral is "bacterial SSU rRNA". It matches the Rfam family "Bacterial small subunit ribosomal RNA", at positions 28 to 407 of the family's 1533-position model. The record is from RNAcentral.